AAGCAUGUGGGGCUUAGCCCUCCCUACUGAAAAAUCCAGCUUGUUCUGACCAGCUACCAAAACAAAGGCCAAGUUGGUAGAAAGGAACCUGUUUCUGAAUUACUGGUGCUAAUACAACAGUUGUGUGUGUGUGUGUUUAAGUAACAACAGUAAGGCAAUUACAAAAAUCUAAUACAGUGCUCUCCACUAAUAUUGGCACCCUUGGUAAAUAUGAGCAAAGAAGGCUGUGAAAAUUUGUCUUUAUUGUUUAACCUGUUGAUCUUUUGUUUUAAAUGAAUUCACAAAAUAUUCUGCUCUCAUGGAUAACAAAAAACUGCAAACAAAACAAGUUUAUCCAAAAAAAAAAAAAAGUUUGUUAAAUAUAUGUGUACCCCAAUUAUUGGCACCCUUUUAAUCAAUGCUUUGUGCUACCUCCCUUUGCCAAGAUAGCAGCUCUGAGUCUUCUCCUAUAAUGCCUGAUGAGGUUGGAGAAUACAUGGUGAGGGAUCUGAGACCGUUCCUCCAUACAGAAUCUCUCCAGAUCCUUCAAAUUUCGAGGUCCAUGCUGGUGGACUCUGCUCUUCAGUUCACCCCACAGGUUUUCUAUGGGGUUCAGGUCAGGGGACUGGGGUUUCCAUGGCAGGACCUUGAUUUUGUGGUCAGUAAACCAUUUUUGUGUUGAUGUAUGUUUUGGAUCAUUGUCCUGCUGGAAGAUCCAAACACGGCCCAUUUUAAGCUUUCUGGCAGAGGCAGUCAGGUUUUCAUUUUAAUAUCUGUUAAUAUUUGAUCGAGUCCAUGAUGCCAUAUAGCCUAACAAAAUGUCCAGGUCCUCUGAAAAACAGCCCCAAAACAUUAAAGAUCCACCACCAUAUUUAACCAUGGACAUGAGGUACUUUUCCAUAUGGAUACCUCUCUGUGUGCACCAAAACCACCUCUGGUGUUUAUUACCAAAAAGCUCUAUUUUGGUUUCAUCUGACCAUAGACCCCGAUCCCAUUUGAAGUUCCAGUAGUGUCUGGCAAACUGAAGACGCUCGAGUUUGUUUUUGGAUGGGAGUAGAGGCUUUUUUCUUGAAACCCUUCCAAACAACUUUUGGUGAUUGCGUUGAGACGAUAUAGACACACUUCCAAUUCCAGAUACUUCCCAUUGUGAGAAGCUCAACAACCUUUUGCCACACAUCACAGCUAUAUUCCUUGGUCUUACCCAUUGUUAUGAAUGACUUUGAAGGGAAUAUGACAUGUCUUACCUCAUAUUUAUACACCUGUGAAACAGGAAGUCAUGCUUGAACAAUUUCCUGUUCCUAGUCACCCAGGUGUACCAACAAAAAUGUAAAAUAUCAAUAGGAAUAUACUUCAAAUAUAUUUUACUCAUAUGAAUUCAUAGGGGUUUUGGAUUGUUGGACACCUAUAGUUAAAGAUUUUAUUAUUAUUAUUAUUUAUAAACCUGUGUUGUGUUUGCAAUUGUUUGAUAUCCAUGAGAGCAGAGUAUUUUUGUACAAAAGAUCAAACAGUUAAACAAUAAAGACGAUUUUUACCAAGGGUGUCAAUAUUAGUAGAGGCCACUGGACAUUUACUGAUCAGUUUGGACAAGUAAUUAGAAAGCUGGAAAAUAACUUACCAGCUGGC
Ictalurus furcatus (blue catfish) is the source of this 1602-nucleotide long non-coding RNA. RefSeq lists it as uncharacterized. NCBI's taxonomy places the organism in Eukaryota, Metazoa, Chordata, Actinopteri, Siluriformes, Ictaluridae. The record is from RefSeq and is a predicted model, not a curated record. The transcript is spliced from 3 exons.